GAGGGUGUAGCUCGGCGGUAGAGCGUGCGCUUAGCAGGUAUGAGGGCCUGGGUUCGAUCCCCAGUACCUCCA
This 72-nucleotide transfer RNA is filed under the name Camelus bactrianus (Bactrian camel). It matches the Rfam family "tRNA". Rfam says of the family: Transfer RNA (tRNA) molecules are approximately 80 nucleotides in length. Their secondary structure includes four short double-helical elements and three loops (D, anti-codon, and T loops). Lineage: Eukaryota; Metazoa; Chordata; Mammalia; Artiodactyla; Camelidae. The record is from Rfam by way of RNAcentral. RNAcentral also lists the same sequence under 2 other names.